GGGGCCGACCUGGCUUCGACGUGGGUUGCAAAGCAGUGAAGGGCAUACCGAGGACCAGUCACCUCGUAAAUCCAUCUGGAAAUCUAUAGUCGCCAACGACGAAACUUACGCUCUGGCCGCUUGACGGCCGGACUCCUCACCGGCAGGCCCGUGGGCCGGGCUGGGCAACCAGCUGAGGAGUCAUUUACACGGGAUCGCGCUGAUUCGGGUCACUUGAUUCAGCGUUAAAUUAAGGUGACUCGCCUAGACCCAGCCUGUUCGGCCGGCGGGGUCCGGGUUAAAACCAAAUGACCGGACUAAGUAUGUAGAUCUUGCUGUAGAGGACUUGCGGACGCGGGUUCGAUUCCCGCCGGCUCCACCA
This 361-nucleotide transfer-messenger RNA is filed under the name Thiobacillus sp. It matches the Rfam family "transfer-messenger RNA". Rfam says of the family: Bacterial tmRNA, also known as 10Sa RNA or SsrA, is named for its dual tRNA and mRNA-like properties. Its role is to liberate the mRNA from a stalled ribosome. The record is from RNAcentral. Lineage: Bacteria; Pseudomonadati; Pseudomonadota; Betaproteobacteria; Nitrosomonadales; Thiobacillaceae. RNAcentral also lists the same sequence under 1 other name.